CUGGAUGUGGCUGCAAAGCAGACAGAUGGGUAGUAACACAAAUAUGUUGUUCUGCGGCACAGUGAAGAGGUGACCAACCCUCGUUGCUAUCAACAUCAGUGGGAUAUGAGGUUAUGAGGCAAUUUACAGAGCUGAGUUGGUAGGAAUCUUUUCUAGAAAAGGAUUUAGGUAUUUAGCCCAAAGGGCAGAAUCUGAUUCACCUUACAGGAAAACAAAUCAACCCAGAGACUUCUGUGGGGAAGGAUCUCCGUGUGGGUUUGCUGUGUCCUGUGGAAUAGAGCAGUUCCCAGGCCGUGCCUGUGCUGGCUGAGUGGCUGGAAUAAAAGAGAUACUUUCUUUCCUUCAAAUUAGGUGUAGUGGGUAUCUGUGAAGGAGCACCCUUCUGCCUGCACGAGGGGCUGUGAGCUUCCUACCAGGAACUUUUGGGAUCCUGUACUGUCAGCUCAGCCCUGCCUUCUGAGAGCUGCAGGAGACAGCAAGGCUGCAGCAGAGGCAGGGCAGAGCCUGCUGAUCCUGGAGAUGCCUACAGAAGAGCUGGUCUGCCCCUGCUCUGCUGGCUCACUGCUGGGAGCUGUGGUGUGUCCGUGCCUCUGGAUGUGCCUUUGUGUCCAGCUGUUAAGAGUUCAGUGGGUUGAACUGCAAUCCUUCAAGUUCAUCUGUUGACUCCAACACAAAACUAUUAUAAACUGUGCCUCUAAAACACGUGAUGAAACAUUUCUUGAGAGCUAUUUAUUCCAACUGCAGCAGAGGAAAGUUUUCAGAGCACCCGGCAUUUGGUAGAGGAAAGGUCUCUUGAGCUUUGCAAAAGGAGGAAUUAUUUGCAUACCGGCGUAAGUUGCUUUUUGAUUAUUUUUUCCUGCAUCACUGAACAAAAUAAUACUUCUAACUUUCGCCCACCAUGGAAACAUGAUCAAGUAGCACAAAACUAUGUUUAAGUGCCUAGUAGGGUCUUUCUAUAUAGUUUUUUUUUCUUUAAUCAUGUGGCUUGGGUGUUUUAUAAUUCAGCAUAGAACUCAAGAUAAUUUAAUAUUAUAUGUUUUCUUUCCUUGAAUGUUUUCUGUAUCUGAAUAAGAGUUCAUUCACUUACAGUAGUAAUGCAGAGGUAUAAUAGACUGGGAGCUUCAAUCAGGUGUGGGGUUUGCAAGCUUACAAGGAGUAAUGAAGGGUUUGAGGUAACCUUUUUCCAGAUGUUUCUUUUACACCUUUGCUCUGAAGUUUGAUCUUACAUAUCCGUUUACAUUCUCCUCCAGGCUUCA
This 1256-nucleotide long non-coding RNA is filed under the name Corvus moneduloides (New Caledonian crow). RNAcentral describes it as "lncRNA (ENSCMUG00000019124.1)". The record is from RNAcentral. Lineage: Eukaryota; Metazoa; Chordata; Aves; Passeriformes; Corvidae.